Molecule: non-coding RNA, 1273 nt
Organism: Styela clava
Lineage: Eukaryota; Metazoa; Chordata; Ascidiacea; Stolidobranchia; Styelidae
Source: RefSeq, a predicted model, not a curated record
AUGUGAUUUUAGGCUUAUGUAGACUAAAAUAUAAUAAAUCAUAUUUCUACAAAAGCACUGGAAUCUGGAUAUUCUGUGAAUUUGCCUACGGGAGUAGCUGAGCAGUCAGAUGGAUUGUCAAGGAAGGAUACAGAGUGAACGGCGAUGAACGAAAAGAAGAAACAAAAGACGUUGAAACCUACAUUGUUCAAUAAUAUCUGGAAAACCUUCAUUUGAUCGAGGAAAAGAAUUUGAUUCGAGAGUUUACGUUCUUGUGUAGUCGAUUCACUGGUAAAGAGAAAAGAGCUGGAGGUUUUGAUUUGAUGUGGAAUGAUGGUCCUGUGUAUGCAGAUGAAGGGGGAAUGGACAGCCUGGGUGGCCCUGCGUAUGCUACAAACACUUUCUUAGGUUGCCACAAUGACAGAAAACGUCAGUUGGUUCAACUCUUCAGAUUCUUGCAUUCAAAGAAAACAGCAUCAGUUACAUGAACAAUGCAGCAGACUACAAUACCUCCAUGCCAGAAAGUUUUGACUUUUUGACAAUGAUAUACUUGGCAUUUCAGGGGUUGCCAUAGACUUUGCUCAGAGAUGAAGCUUCUUUACUUCUGACCAGAUUUGAACGAAUUUCCUCAUAAAGAAAUCUAAAACGAAUCUUAUUAUUGGCAUUUAUCACAAGUCGGAUCGCUACGAUUUCCUUUAUUUAUAAGCUGGUUAGGAUAGGAUUUACAUAUUUACCCCUAGAGGGAAGAAAACCGAUCAUAUGGCAAACCAUGGCUUCUCAUCCGGUUACAAUCUGUCUCUUAUCUGGCACAUGUAUUUCUACAUGAUUUAAACUUUAUCAAAGGUUUUGCCAGUUUCGCCCAAACGUAAGUGUUAUUUUUGUAUGUUUUUUUCAAUUGCUUUUAAAAGCAUGGACUUGAUAGUGGAGGUAGCCCUAACGGACAGGCGGUUACGUGAACCACCCUACGAGGAUUCGAGCAAUCCUCUCGCAUAUGACUGUCCCCGCAUGGGAUGCGAACCUGCCGACCCAUGCACUGUAAUCAGAGGUGCGAUGGCGAGCGUAUUCCUGAUGCUCCACACCACCAAGCUAAGUUAUUACAGAUUGUAUACUAAGUAUAUAUAUAUACAUGGCCAGCAGUCGUGUUCUGCAUAAGGCCCCCGUAUAUAACAUUGCAUGGAUUUAAAACAUACUUAUUUUAAUAUUUCUCAGCUACCGUAUAAUGCAUUUGCUUUUAUACUGCUCAAGUGUUGUUAUGGAUUUUAUAAAUAAAGUUUAUGAAUUGGUAUAUUUAGGG